AACAUUCACAUACAACCCUAAUCCACCAUGUGAGCCUCCUCUUAGUUUGGAGGAUGUAGAAGCCUGUGACUCUUUAACCAACUACACUAAAAAAAAAAUUAGAUUUCAUUCAAAACACAUGUUGAUAUGAUCUGUAAUCCUAACCUUUGAUGGCCUUUUGGAGCAUAUGUCCUUCUUGUGGGUUGUACUUCCACAGAGACUGCAGUGUUGCACCUUCCCC
Molecule: long non-coding RNA, 220 nt
Filed under: Salvia miltiorrhiza (redroot sage)
Lineage: Eukaryota; Viridiplantae; Streptophyta; Magnoliopsida; Lamiales; Lamiaceae
Description: long non-coding RNA (SMIL_LNC010900)
Source: RNAcentral